This 92-nucleotide non-coding RNA is filed under the name Stenotrophomonas maltophilia. Lineage: Bacteria; Pseudomonadati; Pseudomonadota; Gammaproteobacteria; Lysobacterales; Lysobacteraceae. The record is from RNAcentral.
UCUCAUGGCGGGCGAUGUGAGGGGAUCCCUGAUCCGCCGGGCCGUUUUUGCUUGAUUCUCCGGUAUGCCAACCCGCAUCGCCCGCCACCCCG